GAACGCACAUGGCGGCCUCGGGUAACU
Molecule: ribosomal RNA, 27 nt
Filed under: Magallana gigas (Pacific oyster)
Lineage: Eukaryota; Metazoa; Mollusca; Bivalvia; Ostreida; Ostreidae
Also listed under: 2 other names
Description: Crassostrea gigas (Pacific oyster) partial 5.8S ribosomal RNA
Source: RNAcentral